This 429-nucleotide ribosomal RNA is filed under the name Gemmatimonadota bacterium. Its description in RNAcentral is "Gemmatimonadetes bacterium partial 16S ribosomal RNA". It matches the Rfam family "Bacterial small subunit ribosomal RNA", at positions 355 to 776 of the family's 1533-position model. The record is from RNAcentral. Lineage: Bacteria; Pseudomonadati; Gemmatimonadota.
UAGGGAAUCUUCGGCAAUGGACGAAAGUCUGACCGAGCAACGCCGCGUGAGUGAAGAAGGUUUUCGGAUCGUAAAACUCUGUUGUUAGAGAAGAACAAGGACGUUAGUAACUGAACGUCCCCUGACGGUAUCUAACCAGAAAGCCACGGCUAACUACGUGCCAGCAGCCGCGGUAAUACGUAGGUGGCAAGCGUUGUCCGGAUUUAUUGGGCGUAAAGCGAGCGCAGGCGGUUUCUUAAGUCUGAUGUGAAAGCCCCCGGCUCAACCGGGGAGGGUCAUUGGAAACUGGGAGACUUGAGUGCAGAAGAGGAGAGUGGAAUUCCAUGUGUAGCGGUGAAAUGCGUAGAUAUAUGGAGGAACACCAGUGGCGAAGGCGGCUCUCUGGGCUGUAGCUGACGCUGAGGCUCGAAAGCGUGGGGAGCAAACAGG